AUGCGCCGAUCUCUCUUUGUGAAAAUUGUUCAAGCUUGCGAGGCAAAUUGUCGGUAUUUUACUCAAAGAAGAAAUGUCGUGGGCUUGAAGGGAUUUAGUGCAUAUCAAAAAAUCUCGGCAACUAUGUGGGUGAUUGCAUACGGCGUUCCGGCUGACUAUGCCGAUGAGUACCUUCGCAUUGAUGAAGAUACCACAAUUGAGUCAGUGCGUAGGUUUGCCAAAGUGAUCAUCCGUGUGUUUGGUCCUGAAUAUCUUCGGGCACCCAACGAGGAAGACACACAAAAAUUGAUGGCAUCUAAUGAGAGGAGAGGUUGGCCUGACAUGCUAGGUAGCAUUGACUGCAUGCAUUGGAAUUGG
This 357-nucleotide ribosomal RNA is filed under the name Triticum aestivum (bread wheat). RNAcentral describes it as "partial small subunit ribosomal RNA". The record is from RNAcentral. Lineage: Eukaryota; Viridiplantae; Streptophyta; Magnoliopsida; Poales; Poaceae.